Oryctolagus cuniculus (rabbit) is the source of this 2876-nucleotide non-coding RNA. The record is from RefSeq and is a predicted model, not a curated record. NCBI's taxonomy places the organism in Eukaryota, Metazoa, Chordata, Mammalia, Lagomorpha, Leporidae.
UCUCCUCUCCGUGCCGCUCAUCCCACAUGACUCCUCUCCGUGCUCCCCACCUCGGCUCCAGAGAUGAGAACACUCACUGCUUUGUCUUAUGGCUGUCCUGAAAAUAGGCAGGCUCCUGCAGAGUGUGGUCUGCAGAAUUUUAAUGAGCACAAAGCAGGCGGCUCAGUCCUUCACUGUGAUAUGAGAAGGGUGACGUCAACCUAUCCAGGAAAUACGGAAUUGAUUGUAAGAUUGCUCUGAGGUGUCUCCCACUGAAGGAAGGUCACAAGCAACGAGGCAGCGGCACAUUGGAUCCGAAAUUGCUAAAGGCUGCAAACCAUUGACUACAUUCCCUGGAAUUCUUCGACCUACAUUUCAGCCAAAUACUGGCAGUCCUGACUGGUUCAUUUCACUUGUUCCUCUCAGUUGAAUUGAUCAGCACAAACCAAACUUCAUGGAGGAAUGAUCUGCAAAACUGAUACUGUGGGCCUUGGAGAACAAAUGGAUUAGCCUAUUUAGCAUGUGAUCUGAAGUUGAUCUGAAGUUGUGAUCUGUUGUUGAGUCUAAAGUUACAACCUACAGACUAGCAAGGAAAUCACACACUUGGGUACUGUGCUCCAAGCAAUAUUAUUGAUGGUCAUGAAGAUGUGCUCAGAAAGAGCAACCCCUCAGAGGCUCUUUGACUGAUCUCAGGAACUGCACUCCAUGCUGGAUGGAUUUCUACAAUAAACCCUCCUCAGUGUUUGCCAUCUCUCCCCGUUCUUCAGGAUGUACACACACACACACACACACACACACGAUUUAGGCAGGAAGUGACCAGCCAGAAGAGAUGGAUACAGUGAGAACUAGAUAUUUUAAUUAAGGUUUUGCAAUUCACAGUCAGAAAUGAUGGAGCAACUGCUGCUAUUUAUUAGUUGAGUCUACCAUUAAUUAAUAAGAGAAGUACUGUUGGUAUUUUGAGCACAUGGUAUUAUAAUUAGGACAAAUGUCUCAUUUGUGAGGAAAUUAAAAGUGUAACCCGUAGCAAUGAGUCAAGGUUGACAUGCAUAGACACUAUGCUCCCACAGUCAAGUAACUAAGGAUUCAUUUAUAUUAUUAUAUAUACCUUUCCCUUUUGCUUCUUCUUCUUCUUUUUUUUUUUUUGAAUCUGGUGCCCCGACCGGGACUAGAACCUGGUGUGCCACCGCUGCAAGGCAGAGGAUUAGCCUAGUGAGCUGUGGCGCCGGCCCCCUUUUGCUUCUAAGUUCCUUGGAGGCAGACAUGAAAGUAUCUACCAGCUUCUGUACCGGUGAUAUUUAAAAUUCCCUACCUUGUGUAUAUGACUAGGUCUAGAUUGCUGCACUUGUUACAUAAAAGGCUAUGAGCCUGAUUCAAACAUGGUUUUAUUUGAAGUACAGUCUCUUUUGGAGUGGAUCUGUUUGGACUGUAUCCAGAUGAUUUUAUUGAAGAAUCAAAAAGGAUAUACUUUAAGAUUGUCUGAUCUUCCCUCAACAUGGGCAUAAUUAUGGGGAGACUUUGAUGAACUGAGAACCCAGCUAAGUCAGGUGGCUGCAGGCAGUGGGAAAAAAAAAUGGUGGGUUGGGCUGGCAGGAAGCAGUGGCCAGAAACUAAAUAUUUAGCUAUCUCGUGUAUUACAGGUACCAGAGAAGAGAGUCUUUCUCAUGCUUUAUUGCAUUUUAUCCCCAUAAGAAACUGUAGUGGAAAUUGUAUCUUUACAUGUGAAGAGACAGAGGCUCCUGGGAAUUGAGAGAUUUUAUCAUUAUGAUUAUUAUUUUGGCUUAGGUCAUGCAUAGACGAGGCAGGGUUUAAUCUGGGUACUUCAAAGCAGUGCCGUUUGCAAUACCCAACAACAGGCAACAUUACCCACAAUAGACUUUGGAGUUGCUGUACCUGGAUUGCCUUCAGCUCUCAUACCUACUGUGUGGCCUUAGGAACAUCAUUUAACCUCUCAUGGUGUGUUACUUCAGUCCUCAGCACAAAUAACAAUGCCUUCUCUGUGUUCAUUGUAGGGGUGUCUGGGUAGUUUGAUAAAAUAGCACAUGUCAGAAAUCACUUUGUAAAUUACAAGGCUCUAAAUGACUAUAAAGAGUUAUUAUUAGAUGUACAGCCCUUGACCCAUACCUGAAGAAUGGGAUAUAAAGCAAUUUGAGAGAUACUGGUUCUUUGGUCUAUGAACUUGCAUUCACAAUUUUGUAAAGAUUUCUUUGCUGCAAGGAUCUAUUAAUUAUAGCUGUCAGUCUUCAGUGCACUGCUUAUCUUACUCACAAUUAAUUAUUCCAUAAAUCAAAUAAGCAAGUUGUUGGCAAAUGACAUCUGCAAUCUUUGAGCUGACAGCAAAAUAUAUUAUGAACCAUAAAUAUUGCAAGCCAACUUUUCUUUUUUAGACAUUUGGUGCUGGUACCAGGAACAGAUUAUUGCUAUGAAAAAGCACUUCUGCUUGCUGGUGAUAAUAGAACAUGUCUAGACCUCUCAGCAACUCAGGGGGUAGCUCUUUAAGUUCUGAUCUCAGGUCAGCAGGCUCAUUUGACAAGUUCUGACAAAAGUGGGAUACUGGAAAUUUCAUUGAAAUAACUUUGUCAAGACUUGGUUUGUUCUCAGAACUCUGGUUGUGGAAUACUACUUUUCUGAUUUUUAUGGGACUCUGAUUCCCAAUUCUCCUAACAGCCCCUGAAAUAGUGUCUGAUAAUCAGGGGGUACUCAACAAGGACAGACAUUCUUCUAACUGAAAGGGCAUAGAGACAAUGAGAAAGAUAGACAUAUAGAGGUCUCCCAUCUGUUGGGCCACUCCCUAAAUGCCUACUGUAUGUGAGUGUUGGAACAAACAUUUGAGCCACCUGCUGCCUCCCAGGAUGUGCUUUAGCAUGAAGCUGGGGUCCAGAGCAGAACAAAGAAGUGAA